RNAcentral lists this ribosomal RNA (405 nucleotides) under Triticum aestivum (bread wheat). RNAcentral describes it as "partial small subunit ribosomal RNA". Lineage: Eukaryota; Viridiplantae; Streptophyta; Magnoliopsida; Poales; Poaceae. The record is from RNAcentral.
AUGGCAGAAUCGUUGCUUCUUCCUCUAGUGCGUGGCGUGGCCAGCAAGGCUGCAGACGCACUCGUGGGGACGGUGACCCGCAUGUGUGGCCUCGGUGAUGAUCGCCGAACAUUGGAGCGCCAGCUGCUAGCUGUCGAGUGCAAGCUGGCCAACGCCGAGGAGAGGAGCAUGACAAAUGGCUAUGUCAAGAGCUGGAUGAAGGAGCUCAAGUCUGUCGCCUACAAGGCUGACGACGUGCUUGACGACUUCCAGUACGAGGCACUACGCCGCCAGUCUAAAAUCGGCAGGUCCACUUCCCACAAGGUACUUGGCUACAUCACGCGGCACAGCCCGCUGCUCUUCCGUUUUGAAAUGAGCAGGAAACUCAAGAACGUCCUCGAGAAGAUCAGCGCGCAAGUUGGUUGA